RNAcentral lists this long non-coding RNA (461 nucleotides) under Elaeis guineensis (African oil palm). Its description in RNAcentral is "long non-coding RNA (EGUI_LNC027369)". Lineage: Eukaryota; Viridiplantae; Streptophyta; Magnoliopsida; Arecales; Arecaceae. The record is from RNAcentral.
AUUCAGGCUUAACCACUGAGCCAUGAUCAUGGCCCAUUUAAUAAGGUCAAAAAUAUGGACUUGAUCAAGCUUCAACUGUUGAGGUUGAUCUAAGAAAAAUUCUGAUCUAAUCUAAUUCAACUUUUGAUUAGAUUUAACUAAUUUCUUUAUUCAGUCCAUAUUUAUUUCUAACCCUAGGUCUAACCUAAUAGAAGGAUCUGAUUCAUGCUAACCUAUUGCCCAUCGAUUUAUGUAGUGUCUUAGUAAUCUUUAAUUCUCAAAUCUAGAUCGAUUAAAACUUAAUUCUAAAUUAAGUGUGUAAAAUAUGUGUUUCAGUUUGUAGAACUAUUUUACUAGAAUUUCAAGUGAAGCAUACCAUAUAUUUUAUAUCAUAAAAAUCAACUUUUAUAUAUAUAUAUUUAAUAAUUAAAUAUAAUAAGUAUGAUCUAAACUUCAUACAUACAUCACAUGUAUCAUGGCUA